CAGACUUCUCGGCCUUUUGGCUAAGAUCAAGUGUAGUACCUUUGGAUUACUGCAUUUGGAUCAGGUCCAGGGAAAGAUCCAAAAUAUUUUUUAGAAAUAAAAAAUAUUUUUGAUCCAGUACGGGACAAGAAACACAGCGAUCCAACUAGGCUUGCUGGGUAAUUAAUGGUCGGCACUGCAUCACCCUCUUAAUUGCCCAGUCGGU
Molecule: small nuclear RNA, 205 nt
Filed under: Leptobrachium leishanense (Leishan spiny toad)
Lineage: Eukaryota; Metazoa; Chordata; Amphibia; Anura; Megophryidae
Description: U2 spliceosomal RNA (ENSLLEG00000017532.1)
Rfam family: U2 spliceosomal RNA
About the family: U2 is a small nuclear RNA (snRNA) component of the spliceosome (involved in pre-mRNA splicing). Complementary binding between U2 snRNA (in an area lying towards the 5' end but 3' to hairpin I) and the branchpoint sequence (BPS) of the intron results the bulging out of an unpaired adenosine, on the BPS, which initiates a nucleophilic attack at the intronic 5' splice site, thus starting the first of two transesterification reactions that mediate splicing.
Source: Rfam by way of RNAcentral